UGGGGAAUAUUGCACAAUGGGGGAAACCCUGAUGCAGCGACGCCGCGUGAGUGAAGAAGUAUUUCGGUAUGUAAAGCUCUAUCAGCAGGGAAGAUAAUGACGGUACCUGACUAAGAAGCCCCGGCUAACUACGUGCCAGCAGCCGCGGUAAUACGUAGGGGGCAAGCGUUAUCCGGAUUUACUGGGUGUAAAGGGAGCGUAGGUGGCAGGGCAAGUCAGAUGUGAAAACCCGGGGCUCAACCCCGGGAGUGCAUUUGAAACUGUCCGGCUGGAGUGCAGGAGAGGUAAGCGGAAUUCCUAGUGUAGCGGUGAAAUGCAUAGAUAUUAGGAGGAACACCAGUGGCGAAGGCGGCUUACUGGACUGUAACUGACACUGAGGCUCGAAAGCGUGGGGAGCAAACAGG
This 404-nucleotide ribosomal RNA is filed under the name uncultured bacterium. RNAcentral describes it as "bacterial SSU rRNA". It matches the Rfam family "Bacterial small subunit ribosomal RNA", at positions 355 to 776 of the family's 1533-position model. The record is from RNAcentral.